UGAGGAAUAUUGGGCAAUGCCCGCAAGGGUGACCCAGCAACGCCGCGUGGAGGAUGAAUGUCGUAAGAUUGUAAACUCCUGUUAGAGGGGAAGAAUAGUACCGGUUGGACCGGUAUAUGACUGUACCCUCAGAGAAAGCCCCGGCUAACUACGUGCCAGCAGCCGCGGUAAUACGUAGGGUGCAAGCGUUGUCCGGAUUUAUUGGGCGUAAAGAGCUCGUAGGCGGUUCGUCACGUCGGAUGUGAAAACCUGGGGCUUAACCCCGGGCCUGCAUACGAUACGGGCGAACUAGAGUUCGGUAGGGGAGACUGGAAUUCCUGGUGUAGCGGUGAAAUGCGCAGAGAUCAGGAGGAACACCGGUGGCGAAGGCGGGUCUCUGGGCCGAUACUGACGCUGAGGAGCGAAAGCGUGGGGAGCAAACA
RNAcentral lists this ribosomal RNA (422 nucleotides) under uncultured bacterium. RNAcentral describes it as "bacterial SSU rRNA". It matches the Rfam family "Bacterial small subunit ribosomal RNA", at positions 355 to 774 of the family's 1533-position model. The record is from RNAcentral.